Molecule: transfer RNA, 87 nt
Filed under: Thermoproteota archaeon
Lineage: Archaea; Thermoproteati; Thermoproteota
Also listed under: 3 other names
Description: tRNA-Ser
Rfam family: tRNA
About the family: Transfer RNA (tRNA) molecules are approximately 80 nucleotides in length. Their secondary structure includes four short double-helical elements and three loops (D, anti-codon, and T loops).
Source: RNAcentral
GCAGAUGUGGCAGAGUGGUAAUGCGUCGGCCUUGAGAGCCGAUUCGCCCUCGGGCGAUCAGGAGUUCAAAUCUCCUCAUCUGCGCCA